ACAUCACACAAUUUUGGGACUGGUGUCUGGUUUCUGCUGCCUGAGUUUCCCUUCAGAAAAGAGGUACAGGAUGGAAAAUCAUGACUACUGGAUCUUCUCAGUGAAGCCAUAUGGCAGCCUUUGCCAUGGCAUAUGCAGAUGCCUUUCUUCGGUGAUAUUCCUCAUGCUUUGAGAGGAAAAACAAUAAUAGCUGUAUUCCUUCAAACAGAAACCAAACCCCAGAGGAGGAUGUUUGAAAAGCCAGGAACUACAAGGCAAACGCAAGUCAACAGGAAGGGUCAGAUGUUGUUUGACUUCUUGGCUGAAAAACCUUGUUUUAUUUUUAGGUGGUAGUAUUUACAUAGGUAGUAUGGUAUUUUACUCAAUUUUAUUUUUUAUUCCCUACUUUAAUCCCACUGCCUCAAGUCUUUUUUUAGAUAUGUUUUCCUUAACUACUUGUCACAAAAUUUUAACACUACAAAUAUACUCUAUUUGUUUAUGUACUGUAUGUAACACACACACAUACACAUUUACACACACACACAAAUUCUUUCUAUGUAUGAAGAUUAUAUAUAAUAUUUUCUUACCCCCAGAAUCAAUUUUUAUUUCCUUGGAGACUGUGUUGCUCUAAUGAGAGUACAGAUACACACAAUUCCAACAUGAACGUGCACAUUACUCCAGAUCAGCAGAAUAUCAUUACACGUUUUAGAGGGAUGGUUCCAGCAUAGGAUAGAAAUACUGAAUUCACUCUGGGGGAGCUAUUCUCUGAAAUCUUAAUACUGAGAGAAUCAAAUAUCACACAGACAAUGGCGAGAACAUAUCUGAUCUUUGGACCCCGAUCUACAACUUCUAGCAAUGUGAUGGCCAGAAUGGUCAAGAAUCGGUCAAUGACUGCCUGCAUCCCUAUUUGUAUCUAUUUAUUUUUAUAUAUGGUGCUGAGGAUCGAACCCAGGAUCAAACCCAGUGCCUUAAACGUGCGAGGCAAGCACUCUUCCACUGAGCUACAACCCCAGAUUCCCCUAUUUUUUUAAAAAAAUCCUUGCAUCCAAUCAGGACAUUCAGAAAAGAUUUAUAAGCUUCCCACACCAAUCUUGUAAGAUUCACUGCUUCUUUUGAGCCUACCUGCUGUGUCUCCAUGUCUUCAGAUUCCAAUCAAAGCAGACCUGAAGCUUUCCUCUUUUUCUUUAUAAAGCUUGCCCACUCUCUUCUUCCUGUGUCAAAUGCCAUGUGAUAGUGGCUAAAUCCCUUGCUAGAGUAAAAUGAAAAAAAAAAAUGAGUUUGUUUGCUUUCAUUUGGGUUUUAUUCAUUUUUUUUCUCCACAAUGCAGAAUAUGGAUGCAGCCAUUGGAGAAAAACACGUCUUCAGACAACUUUGAUAAUAAUUAUGUCAUUUCCCUACUCUGUUGUUUUAGCAGUAAGCAUGGCUCAUUUGUUGGUCUCUAUGUUAUUCAAUGCCCCCAAACUAUGUCAUAUUUUAUCAGCCACAUACUCUUAAUAAUUUUGAAUGAUAUUUCUCCACUAUUUGAUUAUAGUAGUCAUAGUAUGCAAUGAUGCUUGGAAAUGCAGGCCAUUGCUAAAAGACUUAGGCAGUCUUUUAAAAAGACCUUAUUAUUGAUUUUUUUAAAUGCUUAUCUGUUAACUUUACUUUGGUGGGGUCCAGAAAAACCAUUCAUGUUCAGAUGGCUACUUUUUGAAGAUUUCAUUAGAAAUGUUUGUCUCUAUUUAACACUUUCUAUCACAUACACCAGAAUUUUAGCAUUAAUAUGUUGGCAAACAAACUCAAAAUGACCUCAAGAGAAUCUGAAGGAUGACCCACAUUUAUUGCAAAGCUUACUAUGCAAGGCAGUGUACUGGAUGAACAAGUCAGACAUAUCACCAGGAUCAUAGUUUACAAAUUCAUUUAUAGCUGCUAAUCCACCCAAGAUUUUUUUAGCAAAGUUCAAGAU
RNAcentral lists this long non-coding RNA (1924 nucleotides) under Marmota monax (woodchuck). Lineage: Eukaryota; Metazoa; Chordata; Mammalia; Rodentia; Sciuridae. The record is from RNAcentral.